This 1417-nucleotide ribosomal RNA is filed under the name Limosilactobacillus fermentum. RNAcentral's name for it is "bacterial SSU rRNA". It matches the Rfam family "Bacterial small subunit ribosomal RNA". Lineage: Bacteria; Bacillati; Bacillota; Bacilli; Lactobacillales; Lactobacillaceae. The record is from RNAcentral.
GUCGAACGCGUUGGCCCAAUUGAUUGAUGGUGCUUGCACCUGAUUGAUUUUGGUCGCCAACGAGUGGCGGACGGGUGAGUAACACGUAGGUAACCUGCCCAGAAGCGGGGGACAACAUUUGGAAACAGAUGCUAAUACCGCAUAACAGCGUUGUUCGCAUGAACAACGCUUAAAAGAUGGCUUCUCGCUAUCACUUCUGGAUGGACCUGCGGUGCAUUAGCUUGUUGGUGGGGUAACGGCCUACCAAGGCGAUGAUGCAUAGCCGAGUUGAGAGACUGAUCGGCCACAAUGGGACUGAGACACGGCCCAUACUCCUACGGGAGGCAGCAGUAGGGAAUCUUCCACAAUGGGCGCAAGCCUGAUGGAGCAACACCGCGUGAGUGAAGAAGGGUUUCGGCUCGUAAAGCUCUGUUGUUAAAGAAGAACACGUAUGAGAGUAACUGUUCAUACGUUGACGGUAUUUAACCAGAAAGUCACGGCUAACUACGUGCCAGCAGCCGCGGUAAUACGUAGGUGGCAAGCGUUAUCCGGAUUUAUUGGGCGUAAAGAGAGUGCAGGCGGUUUUCUAAGUCUGAUGUGAAAGCCUUCGGCUUAACCGGAGAAGUGCAUCGGAAACUGGAUAACUUGAGUGCAGAAGAGGGUAGUGGAACUCCAUGUGUAGCGGUGGAAUGCGUAGAUAUAUGGAAGAACACCAGUGGCGAAGGCGGCUACCUGGUCUGCAACUGACGCUGAGACUCGAAAGCAUGGGUAGCGAACAGGAUUAGAUACCCUGGUAGUCCAUGCCGUAAACGAUGAGUGCUAGGUGUUGGAGGGUUUCCGCCCUUCAGUGCCGGAGCUAACGCAUUAAGCACUCCGCCUGGGGAGUACGACCGCAAGGUUGAAACUCAAAGGAAUUGACGGGGGCCCGCACAAGCGGUGGAGCAUGUGGUUUAAUUCGAAGCUACGCGAAGAACCUUACCAGGUCUUGACAUCUUGCGCCAACCCUAGAGAUAGGGCGUUUCCUUCGGGAACGCAAUGACAGGUGGUGCAUGGUCGUCGUCAGCUCGUGUCGUGAGAUGUUGGGUUAAGUCCCGCAACGAGCGCAACCCUUGUUACUAGUUGCCAGCAUUAAGUUGGGCACUCUAGUGAGACUGCCGGUGACAAACCGGAGGAAGGUGGGGACGACGUCAGAUCAUCAUGCCCCUUAUGACCUGGGCUACACACGUGCUACAAUGGACGGUACAACGAGUCGCGAACUCGCGAGGGCAAGCAAAUCUCUUAAAACCGUUCUCAGUUCGGACUGCAGGCUGCAACUCGCCUGCACGAAGUCGGAAUCGCUAGUAAUCGCGGAUCAGCAUGCCGCGGUGAAUACGUUCCCGGGCCUUGUACACACCGCCCGUCACACCAUGAGAGUUUGUAACACCCAAAGUCGGUGGGG